RNAcentral lists this ribosomal RNA (500 nucleotides) under uncultured bacterium. RNAcentral describes it as "partial 16S ribosomal RNA". It matches the Rfam family "Bacterial small subunit ribosomal RNA", at positions 30 to 523 of the family's 1533-position model. The record is from RNAcentral.
AUUGAACGCUGGCGGAAUGCUUUACACAUGCAAGUCGAACGAUGAAGUCUGGCUUGCUAGACGGAUUAGUGGCGAACGGGUGAGUAAUAUAUCGGAACGUAUCCAUUAAUGGGGGAUAACUAGUCGAAAGAUUGGCUAAUACCGCAUACGUCCUACGGGAGAAAGCUGGGGAUCGUAAGACCUGGCGUUAAUGGAGCGGCCGAUAUCUGAUUAGCUAGUUGGUGAGGUAAAGGCUCACCAAGGCGACGAUCAGUAGCUGGUCUGAGAGGACGACAAGCAACACUAGAACUGAGACACGGUCCAGACUCCGACGGGAGGCAGAAGUGGGGAAUUUUGGACAAUGGGCGAAAGCCUGAUCCAGCCAUUCCGCGUGAGUGAAGAAGGCCUUCGGGUUGUAAAGCUCUUUCGCAAGGGAAGAAAACUUAUCCUCUAACAUAGGGUGAGGUUGACGGUACCUUGAUAAGAGGCACCGGCUAACUACGUGCCAGCCGCCGCUGUAA